GAUGAACGCUAGCGGCAGGCCUAAUACAUGCAAGUCGAGGGGUAACAUGAGAGCUUGCUCUUGAUGACGACCGGCGGACGGGUGCGUAACGCGUAUGCAACCUACCCACAACAGGGGGAUAGCCCGGAGAAAUUCGGAUUAAUACCCCAUAAUGCAGGGGUACCGCCUGGUACUAUUUGCUAAAGAUUUAUCGGUUGUGGAUGGGCAUGCGUCUGAUUAGUUAGUUGGUGAGGUAACGGCUCACCAAGACCACGAUCAGUAGGGGGUCUGAGAGGAUGAUCCCCCACACUGGCACUGAGAUACGGGCCAGACUCCUACGGGAGGCAGCAGUAGGGAAUAUUGGGCAAUGGGCGAGAGCCUGACCCAGCCAUGCCGCGUGAAGGAUGAAGGCCUUCUGGGUUGUAAACUUCUUUUAUACAGGAAGGAAAAGGUCAUGCGUGACCAAUUGACGGUACUGUAUGAAUAAGCACCGGCUAACUCCGUGCCAGCAGCCGCGGUAAUACGGAGGGUGCAAGCGUUGUCCGGAUUUAUUGGGUUUAAAGGGUGCGUAGGCGGUACGCUAAGUCAGUGGUGAAAUCCCGCAGCUCAACUGCGGAACUGCCAUUGAUACUG
Molecule: ribosomal RNA, 612 nt
Filed under: uncultured bacterium
Lineage: Bacteria
Description: bacterial SSU rRNA
Rfam family: Bacterial small subunit ribosomal RNA
Source: RNAcentral